Molecule: long non-coding RNA, 11969 nt
Filed under: Homo sapiens (human)
Lineage: Eukaryota; Metazoa; Chordata; Mammalia; Primates; Hominidae
Description: HSALNT0301746
Source: RNAcentral
GACUCUCGGGUUGGAUGGAAAUCCUGGCACAACGCGGAGAACCUCCCGGAUACCUUGGCUUUGCCGAGAGAUAUCAGCUUCAGGUCAUCACCGCGGUGCCCUGGGUCUGUCUGAAACCUUAGAGGGUGCGCCUUAAGCCGAUGUUGUAAACCCAGGCUGACUUUAAGGUGAAGUGAAAAGGAAACGCACACAAUCUGGAAAGCAAAAUACUUGGGUGGGGUGUUAAAAGCCUCAAAGAAAAAUAGUAGUUGGCAGGUCAAAUGGCCAUGAGGUUGGAAGUCAAAUACGAAACUCGGCUGAAGUGAUGUUAGAAGUUUGACAAGCAAAAACAGUCCGUGAAGAUAAGAGACCCAGCAUUGUUUCCCUUCUUCAAAAGACAACUCGUCCAAAGUUUCCUUUGGCAGAUACCUGGAUUCUACUCCAGAUUCCUGAGCAUUUUACUUGGGUUUCAUAUUUCAAAAUAUAUGUUCCAUUUGGCACUAAUGUAUAUAUUUUAUAUAUUAAUUUAUUGAAAAAUAUUAAAUGUUCCUGGCCUACUUAGAAAAAGGUAUUUUUAUAAAUAUUUAUGCAUAGUUUUCAUUACAUAGGGUAUUUUAUAAGUCCAAAUAAUAUGUGUAUAUAUAUAAAAUACCACAUGCAAAAUUCCUUUUGAACACAUAAAGACAUUCCCGACACACAUGUCUUGUAUGUAAUUUUUUUCACGUGAUCUAUUGUUAGCUGCUGUUAAAAGCACUUUAUUUCUACAUGGCCAAAUAAAUAACUUCUUUUACAGUUUUUGCAAAUAUAGAGUGGCAGUUUGUCUGAAACGGCAUUUUUAUUCUAAAACCUAUUUUUACUUUUCUACAUUAUCCCUUGCCUUUUAGAGGCUUUCUCUCCCUCUGCCGUUUUUAAAUGAGACUUCACUGCUGGACUCUAAACAGUUAUCCAGGACCUGCUCAUUCAAGGGCCUGGUGGUUUGAUUUAUCUUGGCUCCUUUGGCCUCGCCUCCCCACCCCUCCCCUGCCCUCCCCUCCCCACCCCUCCGCUUCCCUCCCCUCCCCUUCCCUUCCUUUCCUUUUUUUUUUUUUUCCCCCAGGGUCUCAAACUCCUGGCCUCAAGUGAUCCUUCUGCCUCAGCCUCCGAAAGUGCUGGGAUUACAGGCAUGAGCCACCAUGCCCUGUGCCUCACGUUAUUUCUUUGUACUGAACAUCUUCAGUGAGUAACUGAUCCCUCAUAUAGUGAAUUAUUCUUCCAAAUGAGUGCAUUUCCUGUGCUAACUAUGAUAGCUUGUAGAGUUGAUGGAUUUAGGUUUCAACAUGUUAUGGGAGUCUACUACCGGAAGAGAGGAAAAAGCUUUGCUUCAGGAAGAUUUUAGGAGUUUUGAGAUUCUGCUGUGAAUUUUGGAAAGGUUUAGCCUUAAAAACAUUUGGUGGUAACCUUAGAAGCCUGGUAUCUGUAGACCACCUGUCAGGCCCAACAGUGGGCUGUUUUUCUAUUAGUCCCUACUUGGGAGAAAAGCCAAGUAGUAUUGUCAGUGCCCUUGCUGUCCAGAAACCUGUGAUCUACCUAAGUGCAGAGAGCACCUUGCCAGUGUACACAAGCAAAUGCUGACCACAUUCUAGUCUCUUGCUACCAAGUAUGGUCCCAGGACCAGCAGCACCAAGCCUCACUCCAGGGCUACCAAGUUGGAAUCUUCAGUCUAAUGAAAUGUGGAUAGUUUGCGUGCAGAUUUAAUGUUUGAGAAGCACCGUCCAUGAGUGCUUGGUGGUUCUCCACCUUUCAAAGCUACAAACUCAUUUGAAAAUCUCAUGGGAUUUAUGAGCACCCUUGGAAAAGCAUAUUGAUUGAUACACAAAAUUUUUCAUAUGCAGUUUCAGAGUUCCUGUAAAUAAUCUAUUGAUGCCAGGGAAGUCCUAGGUUAAGACCCCCUAGUCACAAAGAAGAUUGACUCAGUGUCAGCUGGAGGAGUUAAGAGAAGAUUCUCACAGGGGGCAGAGCUUAAAUUAAACCUGGGGAAUUUGAUAGGAAGAGGAGUAAAGAAGAGCAUUUCAAGCUGUUGAAAUGCAAAGGUCCUGAGAGGGAAAAAGAGAAUGUCCUUUUUUGUAUGUGUUCAUGUGAAACUUAAUGAGGAGAUUGUUGUUUGACAGCAGGCUUUCCUUGCAAUUCCUUAUCAUCACUUGAACGUCCAGAAAAUGAAGCCAGACUGUGGACUCAGUAGUCAUUCCACUUUGGGUGUGCAAGAACCCUAUGACAUGGGGGUUUCACAUAAGAUCUCAUUUCCUACUACUUUGCUCACCUCUCACUCUGCCCCAGCCACAUUGGCCUUCAGGCUGUUCCAGGCACUCCCGACAACAGAGCCUGGCCCACUCUUGUCUGUGUGGGGAUUCUUCCCCAAAUCAGCAAAAGGCUCAUUAAGAUCUUUAUUCAAAUGAGACUUCAAGGGAGAGGCUUUCUUUCUAAAAUAGCAGCCCCUCCCACACUCCCUUUCCCUAAAUAAAACAGGAAGAACAAUUGCUUCACUACUUGCGUUAUAUUUAUUUACAAAUUCAUUUAUGGCCUGUUUCCUUAAAUGUAUGAACUUUAUUUGCUGCUGUAUCUCCUGUGCCUAGAAUAGGGCCUGGCAUAUAGUAGGUACUCAAUAAAUGUUUAUUGAAUAAAUGAUCUUUUAACUACAACCAGUAAUGAGUGUAAAAGCCAUGUUUACAACUCUAUAGCUACGAAAUCAUAAUAUAUGAAACAUUCUUGGAAUAUACCACAUGUUUGCUGAGACUGAAUUUUCAACCACUUCUCUUUAGUCUAAUGAAACAAGAAACACUAAACACAUGGAACAUUUUAAGUUUGAAAAUUCAAACAUUUUAAAGUAAGACUUACAAAAAAUGUCUGUAUAGUCCAUGUAUAAUGCACAACUAUUUUUCUUCUGGCAAAGCUGAGACACAUUCAUGUGUACUCAGCUGGGGUUUUCUUCCAAAAUGCCACAUCCAGGCUGAAUUCAUGUGUGUAUGGUCUGGAUUAUCCCCCUAAGUUAGAUUUAAGGAAAAUGUAGGAGAAGCUGGAAGGUUAGAACAUUUUGAAUGAGAAUUUCCUUAAAGCUUGAGUAUUCUCCUCCUUACUACCCAAUUAAAAUUUCACCAGUCCUGGAAAUAUGUCAACCUCUGCUAAUGAACUUGAUUGACUAAUUGCCAAGGCUAAGGAAUUUUCUAACCAGUGAUUUCCUUGUAAAUAAAGAAAUUUAGGUCACAUCUUGGUUGGGAGAUUUCAGCUUUGCCUAAUCAAAUGCAGCAGGAAAUGGUAUACUAUGAGAUAUACUAUGAGAGGCUAUGUUUGCAUGAGGACUACAGGCCUAGGGUACAGUUCUAAGCAGGUUACACGGUCACUCACCAUAACCACCAAAUACGUUUUUGGCAUUUGUAUUAGCUCUUGAACUUGGGCCAGCACCAAUUUAAUUUGUGCAUAAGACCUUCAAAUAUAGAUGCAUACUUGAUCCUGUUAGUGUAAACCAGUGACUAAUAAAGAGCAUUACUGUAUAUUUAUAUAGCCUUCUAUACUUCUAAAAACACUUUUUCAUUUCAUCUUCAUUUUAGGUCGUUCUGUUCUUGCUGGGUAGGUAAGGCAUUUAUGGUUGAUUUACACAUUUCUUCUUUCCAGAAGGGAUUUGAGGCAAAGUAGAAGGCUUUUGUAUAGAAUGAGUCAUUCCUUUUUUUUCCAGCUUUACUGAGGUAUAAUUGAUUGAGUCAUGCCUAUUGUACUCUUUGUUAUGUGUUCUUUCCCCACAUACCUGUAUGUCUCCCUCCUUAGCUUUCUUCCCAUGUCUGCUUAAAUCUGAACUCCCAGAGGCCUGCCUUCCAAGACAUCCUAGAUAAAGUAUCACCCAUGGCCUUCCUUAUCCCAGUACCCCCUUUAUUCUUCUACAUAGCACUUAACACCUGACAUGUUGAUUGUAUAUUUAUUUGUUUAUUGCCUCCCUGCUCCCCAUACCACUAGAAUAUAAACUCCAUGAGGGGCAGAAAUAUUGCCUAUUUUAUUCAUGGCUGUAUCCCAACCCCGUGAUCAGUGCUUGGCACAUAGUAGAGAUUUAAUAAAUAUUUGUUGAAUGAAUAAAUGAAUGAAGCCCCAGUGCUUAGGGCAGGCGCCUGUCAUGUGAUAAAUAUUUGUUGAAUUAAACAAAGCUUUAAUGAAUGAGCUAGAGAAAGGUCUGUGAUUCAUUCAAGGUUAUGCAGACAGUGAUAACUUGCUUUAUCUAGAUGCGAAUCCCCGCUAAUUCUUUCUCCAAGCCUUCUUCAUUUGUAUACCUCGUAGCAAAUCCAGCCUGUUGUAAUGUCAGAAUGUCUUUGUUCAUCCUUUUUGGUACCUGACAAAAAUUGAACAUUAUAGAGCUUUGAUAGUGAUUACAGGAUGAGCAAGAAAAAAUGACUAUUUCAGUUAAUGCUCUGGGUUAGUGAGACACAAUAAAAAAGAGAGAGGUCGGUUGGCCGCGGUGGCUCAUACCUGUAAUCCCAGCACUUUCGGAGGUGGAGGCAGGUAGAUCACAAGGCCAAGAUGGUGCAACCCUGUCCCUACCAAAAAUACAAAAAAAUUAGCCAGGUGCAGUGGCAGUCACCUGUAAUCACAGCUACUCGGGAGGCUGAGGCAGAGAAUUGCUUGAACCCAGGAGGCAGAGGUUGCAGUGAGCCAAGAUCGUGCCACUGCACUCCAGCCUGGGCGACAGAGCGAGCCUCCAUCUCAAAAAAAAAAAAAAAAAAAGAGAGAGAGGUCUGCAAUGAUACCGCCCCCAACUUCUGCUUCCCUGCAUGCAUUCAUGCACAUGGAUAGAAGAACACAUACUCCUACACCAUCCCCCAAAACACACACCUACACCUAGCAGUGUGCACCAAGGACAGAUCAUCUUCUGAGGGUUAAUUACAGAUCACUUCAUUUGGACUCCCAUAAAGGGAACCAGGAAAUGUGCAGUAGAGGACACCCAGGAUUGUUCUUGCAUUUACUUCACAAACAGCAACCCAUAGGGAUAUAUGUAAACCGCAUCAGACAAUUGUCUCUUCCUCCUUUUAGGGCCCCAAGGUGGCUUGCACUUAGGGACAGCAUCCUUCCCUGUGGCUCAUGUUUCUGAUGUGCUGGGCUCUUCAACCUGGUACUGUGGAUGCUCUGAAGGCCCCUUCUUGGCCAUGCCUGAUUUUCAGAAAUGUUCACCUGGUCGUCAACACUGCAGAAACAAUGGUCGUGGUGUCUUCCUCAACAAAGAUAACAGAUAGAUGCGGGGCCUUGAGAGUACUUGGAACUCCCUGGCUACUGACUGAACAGGUUGGAGCCAGAGGGGAGGGGAGCCAUUUUACACAUUUAAGGCGUGUUUAUUGGGUGUCUACUUUGUGCCAAGGAAUUGGGCCAACAGUGCUGGCACUCUCCUUGGGCUGACCUAUAUUCCUCUUAUUUUUCAAACCAGUGGACUCGAUGUGGAAACUAUGUUGUCGAAACCCUCCAUCUGAACAUUCCAGAGACAUCUAGAUGCCCCUGACUGUAAUCAGAUCACUUGUCUGAGCAUCAGGACAUGCACACAUGCAAGAGUCAACACUUGGUAAUCCCGUGCUUUGCACUUUUGUCUGGAAAUGCUAUUAUACUGACACAAGUGAGCACUGAAUGCUGAGCUGCUUCUUCCAAGGUAGUCAUCUCCUCUGUGGCACUAUAUUAAAAUCUUUGUGCCUAAGAGUGGUCUAGGACUUCCUUUUUGGUUUGUAAAGUCUUAUCUUUAAAUUGUUUCUAAUUAUGGACUUGCCUAGAAAACAAAGGUAAGAAUUUGCACGUUCAUGCCAUUAUAUUAUAGCCCUUAGAACCCGCUGCACAGCUCUGUUUGCUAGUGAAUAUGACCUAACACUCUUAUUGUCAUUCAACUUAUAUUUAUUGAACACCAGAGUGUAAGGCAUUGUGACAGGUACUCUAAAAGGUACAAAGAUGAAUAUGCUUCCUACACCUAAGUAGGUUAAACUUGUACAGAUGAUAAAACGAGCACCCAAGUCACUAUAAUACCAGAUAAUAUAUAAUAAAUAAUAAAUGUUAUCAAUUCCAUGUUUUCCAAAUGCCAAAUAGGGAUGCAUAUUCUGAUACGUUAUCUGACAAUGGGACAAUAUGUAUUGCAAUUGGGAUUAUCUGGGAUGUGUGGCCCACUAAUACUGAUAUUUCACUAUACACUGGUGGUUUUGAAGUUUUCUCCCUUUUGAAUGGAAUUGUAAGCAAGACCUCAAUGCUUAUUACAGGUGAACGUGCAGCUGCUCUGGUUGAGCUAUAAUGAGUGAGAAGUCCUUCUCUCUUCGUCCCCCACCCCCAUUCUCUCGCCAAGGGGUUCUUGAAACUCCUUCUUGAUUCUCACUGGCUCUCUUAUGGGCUGAAUAUUUGUAUCUCCCUAAAGUUCCUAUGUUGAAAUCCUAACCCCUGAAGUGAUGGUAUUAGGAGGAGAGGCCUUCAGCAGGUGAUUAGGUUGGAGCACUCAUGAACAGGAUUGGUGCCCUUAUAAAAGAGACCUUAGAGAGUUCCCUUGCUGUUUCUGCCAGGUGAGGACAUAGCAAGAAGGGUUACCUAGGAACCAGGAAGCAGACCCUCAUCUGACACCAAUCUUGGCCUUGAUCCUGGACUUCCCAGCCUCUAGAACUGUGAGAUAAAUAUUUGUUCUUUAAGCCACCCAGUUUAUGGUGUUUCUGUUGAACUAGCUUAAACAAACUAAGACUCCAAGAAACAGCUGAAACCACAGAGAGAUGAUCAGUAAAUAGAAUACUUCUGGUUAGAGUAACCAGGAUGGCCUGAUUAACAUGGGCUGAUUACUGGGCUUUCCAUUGUAUAGGGCUGGGGCAUGUGGUCUGAGUGCACCUGUUUGUGGUACAGAUCUUUAAGACUCAGGUAAAUGGCCUCCAUAGAGGAUGUCAGUGAGGAUCCAGGACUUGACUGGUGAGUUUCACGGCCUGUGUGGUUUUCAGAUAAAGUGGUGAAGGAUCCGAGGCUCAUUUCCAGCCUCCUGUGCCUUCCUCUUCCUGAGUCCUCCUCUUUCUUCUCUCCACUAUAGAUGGCUUCCCGCCAUCUGUUUCUCAGCCCAAAGCCCUGGCUCCUCUGGAUAUUUGUCUUUUGCCAGCAGCAGUACUCAUAGUGGAGCCUAACAUUUCUUCCUUUAGCAAUGGAUCCCAGAAGUACACACCCUGGGCAAUGCAAUGUUGGAUGAAUAGUGCCAUCCCCAAGGAGGCAACGCUUGGUUUGCUUCCAAAGAGGGCUGGCUUGGGAGGCAUGAACUCCACAGCCAUACACCAAUAAACUAGAACCCUAGUCCUUUAGUGUAGCAUUCUGGCUAAUCAAAGUUUUAUACCAUCUUGGAGCAGAGUUAACAAGCUUCACACAUUGCUUGGGAGGGAGGCUGCGUACUUUGAGGUUCAUGCUGUCCUGAAAUCUCCAAAUGUUGGGAUUAUGAUGGAGGCAUGAUGAAGUCUUAGACACCAUUCUCUUUUUUAAUUGAUUUAUUAUUCCUUGUCAAUGACCUAGCUCACUAUAAAGGAAAGCAGGGCUUACCGAAACCCCAAAGAUGGAAGCCAUACCCAUAUUUUUAAAAAUAUGAGGGCUGUGCAGAAAAUUCAAUUAAAAAUUGUAUUUUUGAGGGGUUUCCUUUUAAGUAAACUAUAUAUGUUUUUAGAGCAGUUUUAGAGUCAUGGCAAAAUUAAGCGGAAAGAACAGAGAGUUUCCAUAAUCUUCCCACUCGCACAUAGGCACACCCUCCCCGCUAUAAAGUCCUACAACAGGGUGGUGCCUUUGUUACAACUGAUGAAUCUACAUUAACACAUCAUUAUCCCCCAAAGUCCAUCACUUCCAUUAGGUUUCAUUCGUUAUGUUGUGCAUUCUAUGCAUUUUGUCAAAUGUAAAAUCAUAUGUAUCCACCAUUGUAGCGUCAGAACAAUUCUAUUGCCCCGAAAAUCCUCUGUGCUCCAUUUAUUCAUUCCUCCCUUCCUUCCCCAAUUCCACCCCAGUGACCCUGGCAAUCACUCAUGUUUUUUACUGUCUCCAUAGUUUUGACUUAUCCAGUAUGUCAUAUAGUUGGAAUCAUACAGUAUGUAGCCUUUUCAGAUUGGUUUCUUUUACUUAACAAUAUGCACUUAAGGUUCCUCCAUAUCUUUUCAUGGUUUGAUAACUCAUUUCUUUUUAGCAUUGAAUAAUAUCCAUCCAUCGUAUGGAGGUACCACAGUUUUUUAUUUGUUCAAGUAUUGAAUAUUUGUUAAAUUCUUACUCCGAAUGAGGUAUUAAACUAUAUGCCAUUGGGAGACAUAAUAAUAUAAGACACUAUUUAUAAAACAAGGCAUUGUUCUGUCAUACAAGGAACUUAUACACCUCUAGGCCUUUGUUAAGUGGUGGAGUGGAGAAAUGGGGUCUCAAGGAAGGAGAAAUUCCAGCUGGCUGAGUUUCAUGCUUCCUGAAGGGAAGUGCAUCUGAGGAGGGAUGUGGAUGGGUAGGAUUCCAACACUGCAUGGGCUGUGUCUCCCCCAGCAAAUUCAUAUGUUGAAGUCCUAACUACCAGUACCUUAAAAUGACUGUAUUUGGAGAUACGGCCUUUAAAGAGAUUCAAGGUUAAAUGAGGUCAGAUAGGUGGACCGUGAUCCAAUGUGACUGGUGUCCUUACAAGAAGAGGAGAUUUGGACACACACACACAGACUCCAGGGGUAUGUGUGAGGCGCACAGCGAGAAGAUGGUUGUCUACAAGCAAGGAGAGAAGACCCAGGAGAAGCCAGUGCUGCUGGCAUUUUGAUCUUGGACUUCCAGCCUCCAGAACUAUGAGGAAAGAAAUUGCUGCUGUUUAAGCAACCCAGCGAAAUAGCUAGUGGUAUUUCAUUUUUUCUUUCUUUUUCCUAAUUGUAGACUCAUAGCAAAUAGUGAUAUUUUGUUAGGGCAGCCCUAGCAAAUGAAUAAAAUUGUGAAGACAAGGAGGAGAAUGAUGCAACAGUGAGAAGGGCAUGAAGAAUGUUCAGAGGCUGGAACACAUGCCUGUGUUCAAGAUGGAGCCUGGGUUGGCUGGUAGUUUGGGACUAUUUCACCAGGCUGUUGUUGGCCUUGGGGAGGGCAGCAGAGGUGAGUCCAUGAGGGUGCUGGGAUGGAAUGACCUCUAGGAUUGCCCUUGUGAGUUCGGUCAGCCUUGGAAGUGGUGGCUUGGUAACAGGAGAUGUUUGUAUUUUGCAUGUUUUCAAGUCAAUGAAAGUCAGUCUUUAAAAUGCCUUGGCUCGCUUCUGUUUUAUUCCUGGUGUCAGUAUACAAUGGUUUUAGUACGGUAAGUUUGCAACACUAAAGGACAUAUUUUGUCAGAGAAACCAGCUAAAAAUAUUUCAAGAUGUUUCUCAGCGCCAAGUGAGCUCCUUGCCAUCCUUGGCUUUCCUUCUCCUGUAUUUCUGAACCUCAAAGCAAAAUGGUUAUUUAAAAUAGAGGUGCAGAUGUAUCUGAUCAAUUAAAAGAAUGUCAGUGCUUAAUGAGAUCUUAGAGGUCGUCUAGUCCUGCCUUCUCAUUUUACAGCAGAGGAAACAGAGACUAAAGAAAAUUAGUGAUUUUCUCAAGAUCAUCUGAUCAUUAGUUAGCAGUAGAGGCUCCUAGUGUAGACAGGUUGUUUUGCUAAAUAAUUUUGUUUCUAUAUAAAAAAGGAGGUUCAUCCUUGCAAGGGUUAGGAUGGGAAAGUGCUCUGAGUUAUGUCUGCGGGAGUCUCAUGGAAUCCAAAUGAAAAGUACAUGCUCUGGUGUCAGGCACCCGGAUUCAGACCCCUGCUGUCCAUCAGCUAGCCCUGUGAUCUUGGGUCAUUACUUAAGCUCACUAAACCUGAGUUCUUAUUUGUAAGAAUGGUGGUAGUAUGGGCAGGUUGUCACAGAACCCACCUUAAGUGUGAUGUGAAGAUUAAGUGAAACUGAAACAAUUCUUACCGAUGUGACUGACACAUUAUCAGGCCUCAAAACAUAUGCUCUUAUCUAUUCUUCCCACCACACAAGGAUACCAUAUUUCUCUCUGUCCCAGGGCCCUGGCACAAUUCCUGUUCCAGUCUGUGUGCGACAAAUAUGUGUUAGAUGACUGAAGCAUCAGGAGUGGCCUAGAGGGAAGGAUAGCACACGACAUUGGGAAUGAAAAAGGAAGCAGAAUACAAGAUGAUAUACGGAUAAGGGAGAUGUGUAAAUAUUUAGAUUCUCAGGCAAGUGGAAAGAUGUGAGAAGUGUUAAAGAGCAAUGAAAGUAAAAGAUGAAUUCUCCACCUCCAGGGGGUGAUCACAGGGGGUCAGACAACAGGCGUACUUGACAUGCUUUGCAAACAUGAAGUGUCAAACAGGUGUAUAGUAGCCAUCAAUACCAGAAGCAAACACACCUUAGUAAAAUUUCAAGAAGACAAUGUUACCUCAAGCAUCUGGAGAAGCUUAUACUGCUCAGAUCUCAGGAACCAGGGAGGUCACGGGGGAAAAGACCAAGGACAGUCGCAGGCAGCUUCAGCAAAAGUAGACCCAACAAUAAAAAUGAUGUAAGAAGUGUAUUAAGUAUGUCUUUUUAUUCUGAUUCUUCAACAUCUUGGAGUCUAGCUGACGUUGAAAGGAACUGCCCCUCCCAGGGUUAUGAAAUUCCUAGAGAUAGCAACUUGCCUGGGAGCCUAUCUUUCAUACGCAAACCAGCCAAUCCAAAGCCCACACUUCUACCACCUCCUUUAUCUGGCUCUUAUAUGCAGACCCACUAUCCCACUGUCCUAAUCACCCUAGGCCAUGACAGGAUACCAGAUGACUAGAGACAGCCCCUAUGCCCCAGAUCCUGCUGGAAUUAUUCAAACUAGCCAAUCCUAAACCUGCUUACUCUGCCUUUCCCUUCUCAAUAAAGGUUCUUGUCCACGAUCCCCCCUCACUCCUUCUUUCUCUUGACUCACCCUUCUCCAUGUUGCCCUACCUAGGGUGCUCCUGUUAUUAGGUAUCUGUAAGUAUAAAAACUUAUUCCUUCAUGACUGUCUUUUCUGCAUGUCUUACCAUACCUGAUUAAAACAAAUCCCAGGUACUCUUAUAUUAAUAAAAAGGAGCCAUCAGGGUUUCUAGGAUCAUCUCCUCUAUCCAGAUGACAGCCCUCUCUUCUCUUUUUGGACAUGUUUUUCAUUUUGGUUUGGAAAGGAUAAUGUCUUCUGUGUUCUGAGAAGUUACUUUUUGCAUUUCUCUCCUCUCUUUCUCAUUUAUUUUAUGUAAAGCCUUAUUAGCUCCCACAACUUUGUUUGCUCUCUUACUUGAUAAUGGAGAACAUAAGAGCUAAAGUCAAGUGGAGGAAACAAGUUGGUGGUUUCUACAUCCUGCUUCUUAUAGGACCCGGAAGAGGAGCACCUCUUCUAUAGCCUGAGCUAUCUCAACAGUGUUCUCUAUGGCUCAUGCUGGUGACUCAGAUUUCUUGUUUAGUUUUUAAGUUUUACUCCCCACUCCUGACAAACUUUUAAUAUUUUUAAAAGCGGUUAAACAACGAGGUACUAUUAUACACCUAUAAGGAUGGCUAAAAUCCAAAAAUAACUGACAAUACCAUUUGCUGACAAGGAUCAACGGAACUUUGUGGAACAACAGGAGUCUCAUUCAUUGCUGGUGUGAAUUUAAAACGGUUACAGCCACUUUGGAAGACAGUUUGGCAGUUUCUUAGAGUUAAACAUAGCCUCAUCAUAGGACCCAGCAAUCAUGUUCGUAAGUAUUUACUUAAAUGAGUUGAGAACUUAUGUCUACACAAAAAUCAGCAUGAGAAUUUUAUAGCAGUUUUAUUUACAACUACCAAAAACUAGAAGUAAACUUUAGUAGGUGAAUGGCUAAAUAAACUGUGGCACAUCCACACAAUGGAAUGAGCUGUCAAACCACAGGAAGACAUAGAUGAAUCUUAAAUGCAUGUUGCUAAGUGAAAAAAGCCAGUCUUAAAAGGCUACAUAAGGUAUAAUUCCAUUUAAGUAAUAUCCUGGAAAAGGCAAAACUCUUAUGGAGAUGGCAAAUAGACCAGUGGUUUCAGAAA